This 468-nucleotide ribosomal RNA is filed under the name uncultured bacterium. Its description in RNAcentral is "partial 16S ribosomal RNA". It matches the Rfam family "Bacterial small subunit ribosomal RNA", at positions 28 to 507 of the family's 1533-position model. The record is from RNAcentral.
GACGAACGCUGGCGGCGUGCUUAACACAUGCAAGUCGAACGGAAAGGCCCUGCUUUUGUGGGGUGCUCGAGUGGCGGACGGGUGAGUAACACGUGAGUAACCUGCCCUUGACUUUGGGAUAACUUCAGGAAACUGGGGCUAAUACCGGAUAGGAGCUCCUGCUGCAUGGUGGGGGUUGGAAAGUUUCGGCGGUUGGGGAUGGACUCGCGGCUUAUCAGCUUGUUGGUGGGGUAGUGGCUUACCAAGGCUUUGACGGGUAGCCGGCCUGAGAGGGUGACCGGCCACAUUGGGACUGCGAUACGGCCCAGACUCCUACGGGAGGCAGCAGUGGGGAAUAUUGCACAAUGGGCGGAAGCCUGAUGCAGCAACGCCGCGUGCGGGAUGACGGCCUUCGGGUUGUAAACCGCUUUCGCCUGUGACGAAGCGUGAGUGACGGUAAUGGGUAAAGAAGCACCGGCUAACUACGUG